CCUACGGGGGGCAGCAGUCGAGAAUCAUUCACAAUGGGGGAAACCCUGAUGGUGCGACGCCGCGUGGGGGAAUGAAGGUCUUCGGAUUGUAAACUCCUGUCAUGUGGGAGCAAAUUAAAAAGAUAGUACCACAAGAGGAAGAGACGGCCAACUCUGUGACAGCAGCCGCGGUAAUACAGAGGUCCCAAGCGUUGUUCGGAAUCACUGGGCGUAAAGCGUGCGUAGGCUGUUUCGUAAGUCGUGUGUGAAAGGCACGGGCUCAACCCGCGGGCGGCACAUGAUACUGCGAGACUAGAGUGAAGGAGAGGGAACCGGAAUUCUCGGUGUAGCAGUGAAAUGCGUAGAGAUCGGGAGGAACACUAGUGGCGAAGGCGAGUUCCUGGACAUUAACUGACGCUGAGGCGCGAAGGCCAGGGGAGCGAAAGGGAUUAGAUACCCGAGUAGUC
This 446-nucleotide ribosomal RNA is filed under the name uncultured bacterium. RNAcentral describes it as "partial 16S ribosomal RNA". It matches the Rfam family "Bacterial small subunit ribosomal RNA", at positions 338 to 795 of the family's 1533-position model. The record is from RNAcentral.